This 392-nucleotide ribosomal RNA is filed under the name uncultured bacterium. RNAcentral describes it as "partial 16S ribosomal RNA". It matches the Rfam family "Bacterial small subunit ribosomal RNA", at positions 523 to 918 of the family's 1533-position model. The record is from RNAcentral.
AUACGGAGGAUCCGAGCGUUAUCCGGAUUUAUUGGGUUUAAAGGGUGCGCAGGCGGCCAUUUAAGUCAGCGGUUAAAUCGUGGGGCUCAACCCCAUUCUGCCGUUGAUACUGGGUGGCUUGAUUGCGGUCGAGGUUGGCGGAAUUCGUUGUGUAGCGGUGAAAUGCAUAGAUAUGACGAAGAACACCGAUUGCGUAGGCAGCUGACCAGACCGCAAAUGACGCUCAUGCACGAAAGUGCGGGGAUCGAACAGGAUUAGAUACCCUGGUAGUCCGCACAGUAAACGAUGAAUACUUGUCUUCGGCGAUAUAAUGUCGGAGGCAAAGCGAAAGCGAUAAGUAUUCCACCUGGGGAGUACGCCGGCAACGGUGAAACUCAAAUGAAUUGACGGGG